This is a non-coding RNA of Candidatus Synechococcus spongiarum 15L, 142 nucleotides long. The record is from Rfam. Lineage: Bacteria; Bacillati; Cyanobacteriota; Cyanophyceae; Synechococcales; Synechococcaceae.
UGGCGGGUGCGAACCCCGCCCAACACCUGUCGCUCCGGUUGGUAGCGGCCUUAGCGUAUUAUGGAGGUAACGAAAUGAUAUGAAGCACUGAGGUUUAACGGGCUACGCGAGUAGCUUAGCGACCAUGCGGGCCGGAACGUGU